UAGUCAGUGAAAGGAUGGAAACACAAAGUG
RNAcentral lists this non-coding RNA (30 nucleotides) under Rattus norvegicus (Norway rat). The record is from RNAcentral. Lineage: Eukaryota; Metazoa; Chordata; Mammalia; Rodentia; Muridae.